Molecule: ribosomal RNA, 497 nt
Filed under: uncultured bacterium
Lineage: Bacteria
Description: partial 16S ribosomal RNA
Rfam family: Bacterial small subunit ribosomal RNA
Source: RNAcentral
GAUGAACGCUGGCGGCGUGCCUAAUACAUGCAAGUCGAGCGAACAGACGAGGAGCUUGCUCCUUUGACGUUAGCGGCGGACGGGUGAGUAACACGUAGGUAACCUACCUAUAAGACUGGGAUAACUUCGGGAAACCGGAGCUAAUACCGGAUAAUAUUUCGAACCGCAUGGUUCGAUAGUGAAAGAUGGCUUUGCUAUCACUUAUAGAUGGACCUGCGCCGUAUUAGCUAGUUGGUAAGGUAACGGCUUACCAAGGCAACGAUACGUAGCCGACCUGAGAGGGUGAUCGGCCACACUGGAACUGAGACACGGUCCAGACUCCUACGGGAGGCAGCAGUAGGGAAUCUUCCGCAAUGGGCGAAUGCCUGACGGAGCAACGCCGCGUGAGUGAUGAAGGUCUUCGGAUCGUAAAACUCUGUUAUUAGGGAAGAACAAACGUGUAAGUAACUGUGCACGUCUUGACGGUACCUAAUCAGAAAGCCACGGCUAACUACGUG